GGCCAACCUUCGGGGGGGCUUUUACCAUGGGCGGGGAAACUCGUCGAACACACAAACGGAAGUCAGAAA
Molecule: non-coding RNA, 69 nt
Filed under: unclassified sequences
Description: L2-Alphaproteobacteria ribosomal protein leader
Rfam family: L2-Alphaproteobacteria ribosomal protein leader
Source: RNAcentral